GACGAACGCUGGCGGCGUGCUUAACACAUGCAAGUCGAACGAAGUGGCGAACGGGUGAGUAACGAGUAAUCAACCUGCCCUUCAGAGGGGGACAACAGUGGGAAACGACUGCUAAUACCGCAUAAUGAAGGAGGGGAUUGCGUCUGAUUAGCUCGGUGGGGGGGUAACGGCCCACCAAGGCGAUGAUCAGUAGCCGUUCUGAGAGUAUGACCGGCCACAUUGGGACUGCGACACGGCCCAGACGCCGUCGGGAGGCAGCAGUGGGGAAUCUUCCGCAAUGUACGAAAGUCUGACUGAGCAACGCCGCGUGAGUGAUGACGGCCUUCGGGUUGUAAAGCUCUGUUAAUCGGGACGCGGUACCGGAAUAGAAAGCCACGGCUAACUACGUGCCAGCAGCCGCGGUAAUAC
This 408-nucleotide ribosomal RNA is filed under the name uncultured bacterium. RNAcentral's name for it is "partial 16S ribosomal RNA". It matches the Rfam family "Bacterial small subunit ribosomal RNA", at positions 28 to 526 of the family's 1533-position model. The record is from RNAcentral.